Molecule: ribosomal RNA, 399 nt
Filed under: uncultured bacterium
Lineage: Bacteria
Description: bacterial SSU rRNA
Rfam family: Bacterial small subunit ribosomal RNA
Source: RNAcentral
AGUGAACGCUGGCGGCAGGCCUAACACAUGCAAGUCGAGCGGCAGCGCGUCCGACCACCCUCGGGUGGUCGGAUGGCGGCGAGCGGCGGACGGGUGAGGAAUGCAUCGGAAUCUGCCUCGUUGUGGGGGAUAACGUAGGGAAACUUACGCUAAUAACCGCAUACGACCUACGGGUGAAAGUGGGGGACCUUCGGGCCUCACGCGAUGAGAUGAGCCGAUGCCGGAUUAGCUAGUUGGCGGGGUAAAGGGCCACCAAGGACGACGAUCCGUAGCUGGUCUGAGAGGAUGAUCAGCCACACUGGAACUGAGACACGGUCCAGACUCUACGGGAGGCAGCAGUGGGGAAUAUUGGGACAAUGGGGGCAAACCCUGAUCCAGCCAUGCCGCGUGUGUGAAGAA